AAUCGUGAGGUUGGGGCUAAAGGAAGUGUGAAACAAAAUCGUGGGCCAACGAACAGGAACUUAAAAGGCUAUGUAGACGGACAAGGUUGCAUAACAAACUAAAGUCCAAAAGAUACCCGUAACUCUGCAGAAGUAAUUUAAGUGGCUAAACGAGGAAAGUGA
RNAcentral lists this non-coding RNA (162 nucleotides) under chicken gut metagenome. The record is from RNAcentral.